CCUACGGGUGGCAGCAGUGAGGAAUAUUGGUCAAUGGCCGAGAGUCUGAACCAGCCAAGUAGCGUGAAGGAUGACUGCCCUAUGGGUUGUAAACUUCUUUUAUAUGGGAAUAAAAUGUUCCACGUGUGGGUUUUUGUAUGUACCAUAUGAAUAAGGACCGGCUAAUUCCGUGCCAGCAGCCGCGGUAAUACGGAGGUUCCGGGCGUUAUCCGGAUUUAUUGGGUUUAAAGGGAGCGUAGGUGGAUCGUUAAGUAUGCUGUGAAAGUUUGCGGCUCACCCGUGAAAGUGCAGUUGAAACUGGCGGCCUUGAGUGCGGUGGAGGUAGGCGGAAUUCGUGGUGUAGCGGUGAAAUGCUUAGAUAUCACGAAGAACCCCGAUUGCGAAGGCAGUCCACUGGACUGCUACUGACGCUGAGGCUCGAAAGUGUGGGUAUCAAACAGGAUUAGAUACCCCGGUAGUC
This 460-nucleotide ribosomal RNA is filed under the name uncultured bacterium. RNAcentral's name for it is "partial 16S ribosomal RNA". It matches the Rfam family "Bacterial small subunit ribosomal RNA", at positions 338 to 795 of the family's 1533-position model. The record is from RNAcentral.